GUCGGCCGGAGGCGGGACAGAGGCAGGUCGGCCUGUCCGCCUGGACGCGGACCUGGGCGCCGUAGGUGCCCUGGGAAGCGCAGGGGUGGGGGGUACCCGGCAGGAAGGUGGCCAGGGGUGCUGCGGGUGCCGGCGCAGCGAGGGAGGGCACCGUGGGAGGCAAGGGCCGUUCCCCGCGCCGCGCACAAUGCGCCGGUCCUGCGGCCCUCCCCGAGCAGGAGUCCGGGGACCCAGGCCCCAAGGCUGGGAGAGCGCCAGGCCCCUGGCCGGCUGCGCUCCGAUGAUCUCCAGGACUUAAGGGGUGUGAAGGGCGCUGGCGCAGCCUCUUUGCUUAACACUGGCUCUGAGGAUCCCCCGCCGAGAAACCGAGGCAGGCUUGCGGCUCUGGGCUCGUCAGCCUUGGCAGUGGCGUCUGGCCUGGAGUCUGGGGCAGCUGGUUUGGGAAAGGCUGCACCACGCAACCGAGGGUGGGACCCAGAGUCCCUGCUCCUUCCCCACCGCACCCAGCCCACCCCGCCCUCCCUCCCUGAUCCCUGCAAGCCAGGUGAGGCCCAGGGGGGACGUGACUCCCUUUCUGCAGAGGCACCUCCGGAAGGGCCUGGGUGAGGCUGCUAGACAGGGCAGCGGGGCACCCUCCUCCCGGAGCCCCCGCCUCUGGGCUGAGGCUCGGAUCCCCACCGCCUCCUGCGCAUGGAGGAGGCGAGAAGCGCAGGGAGACGGGGGCCCCAGACGGCACCCCGCAGGCUGCCAUUCCUUCAACCAAGAUGUAGAGAACGCCGUGGACAAAAGCUUUAAAAAAAUUCUGAAACCUCUGCCCGUGGGAAGUCAACAUUUUUGCGGAGCAGAGAGCCCAGGCACAAAAUAAGAAGGCGGAAGAGACGGGCUGGGGGGAUAGGGGGGACGGCGGCGGGGAAGGGCAGGGAGGGCGGCGGCGAAGGCGCAGGAAGCCCUGAAGCCGGGCGGCUUCCCCCUCCCAGGCCACGCUGAGAGACGGGGGUUGGGGGGAUUUAAAAUCGCGCGCCUGGCAGGGGCGGGGCGGGGGCCACCUGCCCUCCGGCGGGAAGAGCUGGGCAGGGCCCGCGGAGUGCAGGGCGGAGGCACUGGCGGUCCGCACCCGGGUGAGGUGAGGCGCGUAACCGCAUCUGAGCCGGACUCUUUAGGACGAGUCCCGUCCCUGGAGUCAGAAAACCCGGUCCAGCGCCAGCGUGGACGUGCGCUUCCCGGGACACGCCCAGGGACGCCGGCUAGGACCGGCGAGGCUGGAGGGGUGGCGAUGUUGGGGGCUGAGGUUCCUCGCCCCGGGGCGGGCGGCUGCUGGUAAGGGACCGCAUGGCCCCGCAGGUGAGGAGGGCGCAGGUGAGGAGGGCGCAGGUGAGCCGGGCGGGCUGCGGGCAGCGCCACCUCCUCCCGGAGGCCCUCCCUGAUUGACCGGCCGGGAACCGCGCGCCUCUGGGCCUGCGGCUGAGGUCCGGGGCUGCGCCGCGCCGAUGAGCUGACGCCGGGCCGAGCGCUCCACCCCCAGGGCCGGGCGCACCUGAAUCCCCUCCACCCGCGGGACUGCGGAGAGGGGGACGGCCCCCGGAUACCGCGUGGGGGCUUUGGGAGGAUGGGGAAUGGGUCCUGGGGGAGCAGAGCCUCCCAAAUUAAGGCCUCCCAAGAGCGCGGCCGGUCAUCCGCGGCGGCGAAGGGAAGGUGCCCUGUCGGUGCGUCCGGACCCCGCAGCCCCCCAGUGCCGCCCGGGGGCGGUGGGAGAGGGGCCGACACCGCAGGGCCCGCCGUGCUGUGGCCGAGGGGGCAGGUCCAGGCUCUGCUUCCCGGGCAGACGCCGGAGACCCCAGCAAGCCAAGCAGGGGCAGGAAGGCAGCUGGGCCAGAAGGGGACACUGAGGCAGGCCGAGGCGGCCGCGGGGGAGGGUGCCAGGACCAGCCCAGGAACCUCGGAGACCACGGUAAGCGGUGGCUGGUUCAGAUCCCAACUCCGGAGCUGUGUGACCCCAGAAAGUUCCUUAGCCCCUUGGUGCCUGCAUCCCCUGACGUGUGACAUAUACAUGAAUGGGGCUGUUGUAAGUGAACGCACACAGCACACCGGCACAUGUGUCACAACACUUAGAUGGGUUUAGAUGAAGAAACAGGGAAACCUUUGGGAAGUUUCCUGUAGUCAAAGGAAGGUUUUCGUUUUCCCCCUCAACCGUGACUGUUUCUUGGGCCGGCAGGAUAGGCUUUUGUUCUAGGGGUGUGGAGAGAGGGCCCCUUGGCAGCGUCCAGGGCCAACUGGGAACCAAGCAGGAAUCGUAUUUGUGCAGCCUGGAGUUCGAGGCUCUGGGUGCGAGUCGUAGUGCUUAAGCAGGAAGCAGCUGCCUGAUGCCCCUAGCCCCAGGCCGCCCUGCUCUGCCGUUUCGAGGGCGUGGGGGUCUUCUGAUCUCCACCUUGAUGCACCUCCAGGCCCGGGUCCUUUUGGGGUCUGGCACAGCAACCUGCGUUUGACAGCAUGGGCGUCCGCUGAUGCUGAGAGCUCAACUUCUGGUCCAAGGAAGAUCUUUUCUCUUCGGGGAACAGUCAUACAUUGUUUAACGAAAAGGAUACAUUCCUUCUGAGAAAUGCGUCCUUAGGUGAUUUUGUCCUUGUGUGAACACAGAGUGCACACACUGGCCCUGGUGGCACAGCCUGCUACACGCCGAGGCUGUGUGUCACAGCCUGCUGCUCCAGGGCCACGAGCCUACGCGGCAGGUGACUGUGCUGAAUAGCGUAGGCAGCUGUGACUCACUGGUAUUUGUGUAUCUAAAGCCAUCUAAACAUAGAACAGGUGCAGUAAAAAUACCGCGCUGUGAUAUGGGAGCACUGUGGCAUUGCUUGUUGACCGAAGGUUAUGUGGUGCAUGACUGUAUGUUCGUUUCCUGUGGGCGCUGGAACUAACGACCUCACGCUUGCUGGCUCAAAACAACAGCAGUCUAUUCUCUCUCAGCCCUGGAGAGCGGAAGCCUGCCUGGUGGAGGCGCUAGGGGAGUAUCCUACCUGCCUCUCCCAGCUCUGGGUGGCCCAGGCAUCCCUGUGCUUAGCUCCAGCAGCCGCCUCAGUGGCCAUGUGGCUUCUCUGUGUGGUCAAGCCUCACUUUGCCCCUCUCUUAUGAGGACCUUUGGGAUGACACGUAGAACCCACCUGGAUGAUCCAGGGAGGCCUUCCACCUCAAUUUAAUCCCGUCAGCAAAGUCCUUCCUUUGCCACAUGAGGUAACAUUCACAGGAUCCGGGAAUGGGGACAUGGGCAUCCUUUGGAGGGUGGUUCAGCUGAGCAUGGGAUCAUGAUACAGGUCCUGUGUAUAAAAUUCAAAUACUUGGCAGGUCGGGCACAGUGGCUCACACCUGUAAUUCCAACACUUAGGGAGGCCAAGGUGGGAGGAUCACUUGAGCCCAGGAGUUUGAGACCAGCCUGGGCAACAGAGCAAGACCCCAUCUCUACAAAUAAUUUUUAAAAAUUAGCAGCGCAUGGUAGCAUGCACCUGUAGUCCCAGCUACUCCAGAGGCUGAGGCUGGAGGAUCUCUUGAGCCCAGGAGACGGAGGCUGCAGUGAGCUAUGGUUGUGCCACUGCACUCCAGCCUGGGGGACUAGCUAGACCCUGUCUCAAAAAAUAAAAAUUUAAAAUAAAAUACAUAGAGAAUCUCAAGGUGGUGUGGACAGUUCUGAGUGUUGGGGAGAGAACAAAAGAAGGAAAGUGCAUUUUGGGUGGCAGAAAGCCCCUAACAGAGCCUUGGGCCCCUGCUUUGAAGCAGCCCUCACAGAAACUGACCACGAGUUAUGUUGGGCCCAUGACACUGGUUCCCUGGGUGGACACAGCCUGAGCCCAGCCCGCCCUGUCUGGAGCUCUCACCACCCUGCCUGGCCCGUGCCCAUGGGCUCACAAUGGCUUCAACCCCAUUUAUGUGUCAGCUCAAGCAGGCCUCCCCAGAGGGCUCAUUUGCACUUGGAUGCCCUCACCUGUGCUCCCUCUGUGGCUUCAGGAACCCCGGGGUCAUUACAGAGCUUGCUAAAUUCAUCCCUGGACGUGAGAUGUGUGUCGUAAGCAUCCAGGACUGUCCCAAGAUGGGAGAGGCGUUCAGUCAUGUUCACUCAAGUGAAGGCUUCUAUUCUACUUCCAGAUACACCUUUUUAACCUUCAAAGGGUCCAAUUUUAACCUUUCUUCCACAAAGCAUUUUACGUACCACUAAUAGUCCCAGUGCAGACCCCAAAGUUCCCCUGUAAGAUUCAUUUCCUGUGAUUCGAGCACAGCCUGAGGCAGAGCUUUCUGCUGGGUUUAUCCUCACUGAGACUCAGACUGCAGAGGGCCAGGAGGAGCCCUGCUUUUUGCAAGCAAUACCACCUGGGGUAGGACCCACAAGUGACAUCCUUUGUGCGUGGAUCUGGCCUUGGCCUCCGCACCGUCUGUUCAGCAAGUCCCUCCUUUGCCUGCCAAGGCUGAGGUCCUGUACUUUUGUGUGUGGAUCUGGCCUUGGCCUCCGCACCGUCUGUUCAGCAGGUCCCUCCUUUGUCUGCCAAGGCUGAGGUCCUGUACUUUUGCAAAGGUCCAGGCUGUUUGGUGCAGCUACAAUCAGGGUGCGUGGUUUCUCUAUGAACGCAAACAGCGGUCUCAAGGGGAAGGCCCCGGCAGAAAGUGCAUCAUGCGGGACACGGUGCAGGCGCUCCGAAGACGCCUCCUGCUCACUUCUGGCCUCCACCCCCUGCCCUGCAGGGUGACAGAUGGCUGUGCCUACACAUAAAACACCAGACGUGACCAAUAACUAUCUUAUAAUAAAUAUACUCGAACUUCUCAACUAGAACACAGAAAUGCUUUCAGGAAGUACAUCGCGCACCACCACGUGUGGUCCUGUGUGCAGCGGCGUGGGCCUCGCCCCGUCCCAUGAGCCAGCGUGAUGGGGGAGAGACCCUGAGUCUCCAGAACCCAACGGAACGUGGGUCUGCAGUGACGACGGAGACGCAAAAAAACAAGAAUCCGAAGAGGAAAGAGACAACGUGAGGAAAGUUGCCUUUGUUCUAGGAAAAGUCUUUUUCUUCACAGUAUAGUGACUCAUUUAUAAAGAGGAAGUGAGUUCUGUUGAAAAAUACUUGAAAUAUUCUCUUAGGGGGAGAAAGCAGUUCUUCACCAGCUUGGUGGGCCACUUGGCCGCGAGCUUCGAGCUCUGCUUGUUCUGGGCCAGCAGGGACAAUUCUUCUUCCGAAACCAGAGCCCAGUGCCUGCUGCUGAGAGGAGGGGAGGGAAGGUUGUGAGCAAGCGCAGCGCCCACUGGGUGGCCCCGGAGAUGGGGCUGGGAAGGAAUCGCUGCGAGGGGGCGAGGGGAACAGCCUGCCUCUCAGUUGUCCCAGGUGCCUAAGACCCCCCCCCCGGAACCCCCGCCUGAUUCUGGGAGUUUUUCUCAUGGAGGUGGAGUGAGCAACAGGGGACCAGAUGACUCCCUUGCCUCCCGCCUCCCCCGGCCGGGGGCUGGUCCCCUGGGAAGCAGGCUGGGGGUCACUCCGUGUGAACAGCGAGCUCCAGGGCCAUCGCUAGAGGAUGUCACCAUCCCUGGGCAGCACCCCCGCAGAGGAAAGGACAGGACUCUGGGCAAAAGUUGGCCAAACCCUCGCAGAGUCAGCGAGCAUUCCCAGGGAAUUCUAUCACAAAGGCCGUCCCCUGGGUUCCUGGGGCUGCCUGUGCCGGGAGCCCCAGCCCUGGGUGCAGGAGGGCAGGUGGUGAGAGGAAAGGUCCCCUGCCAGCCUGCUGUGAGGAGCCCUUGAGGAAGACGGGCUUUGCAGACUUGGCACCAACACCCCCUCUCCUGCUCCCAGCCACCCCACUGGAGGCCAGGAACAUUUCUCAGUUUAUUUUGGGGUGAAGACUGCGAGUGAAGUGCCAGAUACAGUGUCCCCCUCCUCCUCCUCCUCCUCAGGCACCCUCCCUAGGGCAGUGGGGACUGUCCUUAACCAUCCUGGGGGUGAUGGUGGCUACCUCUGCAAAAGGAUUUCUCCUUUCAGUGAGUGGGUGUCUCUCAUGUCACUGUUGAGACACCCAGGAGCCUGGGAGGGAAACCUGUGGGAAGGAACUGCCAGCCUCCUUCUGGGAACCAGGUGACCCCAGGAUCACGGCUCAGGUGGAUCCAGCCCUCGAAACCCUGUGAGGAGCUCUGUGGAGCCUCGCUCAGAAAGGGGGGCUGGGAAGAAGCAGCUGCCAGCCCACAGCCCAAGCCUGCAGGGGCCACAAGUGUGGCCACUGGAGCAGAGGGAGGUGCCUUUUGUGGAGCAGCAACCCUGGGUCUGGCUGCACCUGCCACUUAAGAACCCUGAUGGGGCGCUGUUCUCACUGCUGUGUGGACGCAUAGAGCCUCCGGGGGCCAAGGAGCCUCUGGGGCCAGGCAGCAGGUGAGGCAUGGCCUGUAAUGCACACAGGUGUUGCUGGGUCUGCCCCCACCUUCACCCCCGCUCACCCAGCCCCACAGAGCCUGGCAUGGCCUCCCAGGAAGUGACAUGGCGGGGAACAGGCUUAGGGUUAGGGGGAGGCUGUGCGAAGGCUGGCAUGCAGGUGAGAGGGCUUCUGAAGAGAAAGCAUGCUGGAAAAGUGCUUCGGCUCAGCCCCACCCAAACUCAAAUCCAGGGGAAGCCAGGCCAGCAAGACCUGCAGGUGCCAUGCCUUGGCAGGUGCCAGGCAACAGGAUCGUGCCUCGGUGGUGACGUGGGAGAUGCUGGAACCGGGGAGGUGAGAGGGAGUAAGUUUCCAGAACUCACUCUCAGGCAGGAGGAGAUCAUGACUCAGCUGAGCCAGAAAGCGCUCGUUCCACACGAAUGCACGUAUGAGCGAGGCACGCCAGGCGAGUGUGGGAGUGAGGGGAUGGAUGGGCGGUUGGCUGGAGGUCGUGAGGUCUGGGCCGCCUGGAAAGGCUGUUGAGGGGCGGGGGCAGCUGGGAGAGGCUGUGGGGGCAGCAGAAGGGGGUGCUUAGCCGCAGAGAGGGCACGUGGGGAAAGGCCAUGUGUUCAAGGCCCCAAAAGGUGGGGAGGGCAGCCCAGGAGUGCACCGCAGGGGGUGCAAGCGUGUGGGUGGGUGAGACUGAUGCGUGUGUGCCUGUGUGAUUGUGAGCACAUGUGAACGUGUGGAUGCAGGUGGUAGUCGUGAGUGUGCUUGUGUGAGCAUGUGACUGAGGGAGCAUGUGGGUGUGUGGAUGAGCGUGACUGUGGGGAUGACUGUGUGUGCAUGCAUGAGCACACAGGUGUGUGGAUGAGCGUGACCGUGGGAAUGACUGUGUGUGUGUGCAUACAUGAGCACACAGGCGUAUGGAUGAGCGUGCAAGUGAGUCAUGUGAGUGUGGCUGAGUGUGAGCACGCAUGAGCUUGUGGGUGUGCAAGGGAGGUGGGGAGGCCACACGGAAUGAAAGCCUGGGGGCUGCAGCCGAUUCAGGGCCAGGCCGCCAUGGCGCAUAUGGGUGUCCAGGGGCUGGACCCCGAGAAGCUGAGAGCCAGUGCUGGAGAAGCUCCCCAAGGGGAAAGGGGCAUCCUCAGGCUUCGGUGUCUUCAGGGUCUCAGGGUGGCCCCGAAGGCCGACCGCAGUCCCACUGGGGCGCAGAGGCUGCUCUGGGCUUGGCUCUGCUAGACAGACCCCAUUUCCUCAGUGAACCCCGCUUCUGGGUCCAUGUUCCCCUUGACCCUGAACGCUUUCAGCUGCCCAGGAAAUACCUCCUUAUGGCUGGGAUGUUGCUCCACACGCGGACAGCAUUCUGCAAGGAUCCGCCGUGGACAUCUGGGAUGGUGACUGGCUCCAUCUGGGGGCGGGAGGGUCGGCCGUGGGUCAGGGGACCUGGACGGUAAGCGCCCCCCACAGGCCCACUGGCCUCAGCCGCCAAUGGCCCUGAGUGGUCAAUGGACUUUCUAGCCCGACUGUGUUCCCUACGUCCUUUUUUCUUAUGAAUCACCUUUGGAGAAAAAUGCUGAUGAAUUAUUUUAAACUGACAGAACAGACUCUGUGGCAAUAAGAUAUCAAAUUACAAACAGGACCUCAGGCCGCGCCAGGCAAGGGUCGAGCCGAGCCGCGUGCCCUACACUGAGAGGACGGACUCUGCCCUCACGCCACAGCUGCUGCUUUUUCUGCAGCGGCUAAACACGCACUGGCCCCGCGAUGAGGAUGAGCAAGGUUCAAAUGACUGCAGCUCAUCCACCUGCAGAUGCCAACUGACCACGUUCCACAGCCAUGACCACAGCUCUGACUGGGCAGGAGACUGACUUCAGGAACCUCCUCCUGAUAAGGGACCCCGACCACAGACUGGCUCCGGCCGGUUUACAGAGGUUGUGCGCUUGAGGGCCUGUGUCCUGAGAAGACCUCUGAGGUUUAGGGCCUCAUUGCGACACACUGACAUGAUAAGACUCCACCCCGGAGUGAACAGAGGUCGUAAGUUCCACGGAUUUUGUUCAGUACGCACGCAGCAGGACCCCCUUCAUGAAUAUUCACCGCUCCUCCAUAACCUGCCGCACAGGUUUAGCCAACCCGGUCAGCACGGAGCUCCUGCCCCAGCCACCCCUCCCCUUCGAAGUGCCUCCUCCUGGCUCCUCUGGUCUUGGUGGAGGCCCCGUGCUUCCCAGCCUGGGGGACGGGACCUUGCAGGCUGUGCCCCUUUACAGAAACAAAGUCUCCUGUUCUAAAAGCACAGACUUUGUGAUUUUCAGCUCAUGGCGUUUGCUCCCCUUCUGAAUAGCUGGAUUUGCAUUCCAGCCACUCCACGAGAUUCCAGCACCAAAGGAACCUCAACGCCACCUGGACCCCCAGCAAAGGCUCUGGCCCACAGGUGCUGCCCACUCGGUGGGUCGGGCCCCCGCUGGCUGUGGCCCCUCCAUGGAACCUGAGAGCAUGAGGAAAUUCCCCCUCCUGAGCCUCACGCCUGUCUCCUGUGGCUGAGGUGUGGCCGUCCCUCCCCAACCCUGGAAGUGUCUGGAACACCCGGCCCAUCAGCCCCAGAGGGGACCCAUCCGCUGAGUCCAAAAGUGGCUGCUCUGACAAUCAGGAUUCAGACGUGUGAAGAAAAGGCUGUAUGUGUGUGGUGUGAGUAUGUGUGCACGUAGUGUGCCUGUGUGUGUGUGGCAAGUGUGUCCCUGUGUGUGGUGCAUGUGUACAGUGACUGUGCACUGCAGUGUGUGUGCACCUGUGUGUGUGGUGUGAUGUGCGUGUGUGUGGGUGGAGACUGAGGGGGCAGGGGCAGGAGGUGAGCCCCCGAGGCCGUGUUCUGUGAGCACAGGAGUGGUGCGAGGUGGGACUGCCCUCCCAUGCUGUCCUUGAAGGGGCUUUGUGUCCCAGGCCGCAGUCCCUGCCCGGACUGCACAGCAGCUCUCCUGGGCCCUGUACACACCUGGAAACCAGGGGCCGCAAGGAGCCAGGCCCGGAGCCUGGGGUGUAGACUGAGCUCCACCAGAAAAGCCCCUCCCUCACGUGGGCAGGGGUCAGAGGGCGGCCCACGCAGCCCUGCACGCACCUCCAGGAAGCGAGAUGCGACGUCCAGGUCUUCCUUGUUCAGCACCAGAUUGUCCACGAACAUCCAGAAGAAGGGCCUGGGGCUGCCUGGCUUGGGCCGUGCGUACUGCAGGAGCCGGUGGAACUGGAACAGCAGCAAUGAAGCCCUGCCCAGUGCUGGGGCCACAGAGGUGCAUGGACCCCUCCUCCCCCAGGCAGGCCUAGAGUGGGGAAGAGACAGACAGGCAACCCCGAGGGAGGAGCUGACGCAGAGCGCGUGCCGCGGCACAAAUACCGCCUUUUAGAGGAAGCUCCAGAGGACACGUGAGCUGCAGUGAUGUGGGCACGCUGGGGGCUGCAUGGGGUCAGCGGGAGGCUUGGGGGCACAGGGAAGCCUGCAGUGAUGGGGACUCUUACUCUGUUGCUCUCUUACUCUGAUGAGGGGUGCAUGGGUGUGGAGCUAGCUCAGAACUCAUCCAGUCGGACACACUGAAUGCGUGCAACUUACUGUAUGUCAGUGGUGCCUCGAUAAAGCUGUUUUUGAAAAAUGCUGACAAUUUGCAGUUUCUGCCCUGGCAUGGAGGUGUGAGGAGAGAGGAGAGGAGACAGGGGUGGUGGGGACAGGCUGCCAGAACUGAAGCAUCACUCACUGGGAGGACGGUCACAGGUGUGGCCCAGGGGAGGUGUGGCGCCGUACACAAGAUCGAAGGGUCCCCACUCCUCCACCUGCAGGACAGAGGGGAGUGGGCACUGAGAGGCAGCAGCAGUGGGCAAGGUCGCGUGCGGCAGCACGAGAUGACCCCAGGGCAGACCCUGCUCAGCUCGCAGGGCCCACAGGCCAGGGCAAGCUGAGGAGUGGAGCCCACUAGGGCAGAGCCAUCCACAGCCACCACCAGCCUCAGGGGCUGCCUGCCUGGAGCCCAGAGGAGAAAGCUCCGGGUCUGAGGUGAAGACUCUGUGCCAUGCAUUUGGGGACUGAAUUCUGCCUUUAUUUUUUCUUGCUCAAAUUCCUUUCUAAGGAGCGUAGGGGAAUCACGCCUUACAAACCACAAAAGCUUGUGGAAUGGGUGUUUUUGACCUGGUAUAUUGUGACUCUGCCAUGGCACCACAUGACAGACAGCAGACCUCCUUAUUUUAACUCAAGCAUUCCUUUCUACUGACUCCCAGUUUUUAGGCAAAGCUCAACUCUUUCAACCAACUGCCAACUAAAGAAUCCCUAAACCCACCUAUAACCUGUAAGCUUCAAGAUAUCUCGCCUUUUGGGGCUGAUCCAAUGCACAUCUUCUAUGUAUUGAUUUAUUGAUUGAUUGAUUUUUUGAGAUGGGGUCUCACUCUGUCACCCAGGCUGUAGUGCAAUGGCGAGAUCUCGGCUCACUGCAACCUCUACCUCCUGGGCUCAAGCAAUCCUCCUGCCUCAGCCCCCUGAGCAACCCCAGGUGCACAUCACCAUGACUAGCCAACUUUUUUGUAUUUUUGGUAGAGAUGGGGUUUCACCAAGUUGCUCAAACUGGUCUUGAACUCCUCAGCUCAAAGUGCUGGGAUUACAGGCGUGAGCCACCGCGCCCGGCCCGUGUACUGUUUUCUGAUUCCACCUGCAGUUCGCAUCUCCCUGAAAUGUACAAAACCAAUUGUGCUGGGAGUGGUGGCUCACGCCUGUAAUCCCAGCACUUUGGGAGGCAGAGGCGGGCGGAUCACGAGGUCAGGAGAUUGAGACCAUCCUGGCUAACACGGUGAAACCCCGUCUCUACUAAAAAUAUAAAAAAAUUAGCCAGGCAUGGUGGCGGGCGCCUGUAGUCCCAGCUACUCGGGAGGCUGAGGCAGGAGAAUGGCAGGAACGCGGGAGGCGGAGCUUGCGGUGAGCCGAGAUCACGCCACUGCACUCCAGCCUGGGCGACAGAGCAAGCCUCCGUCUCAAAAACAAAUAAAUAAAUAAAUAAAAUAAAAAUAAAUAAAUACAUAAAACCAAAUUGUAACUGACCGCCUCAGGUGCACUUCCUCGGGAUCUCUUAAGACUGUAUUUCCCAGGCCAUGGUCACUCUUAUUGGCUCAGAAUAAACCUAUUUAAAAACUUUGGCAGAAUUUGGUUUUUCUGUCUGUCCUCACAUUGCCCUUAGAGAACCAGUCCUGGGAGGCCCAACAUGCAGACUACCUAGGGAAGUAACUGUCAUCUGUGAACACAGCAGGUGCCGUCCGCAGCCCUCCAGGAGCUAACAGCAAGGGCAGAGCCUUCCCUGCUGAACAGAAACAGCCCCCACAGAGUAGCUCCCUGGGGACCACAGAGUAGGUCCCCACAGGCUAUUCCAUGGCCGAGCUGGAAGAAGACAAAACACAGCCACCCAACAAUCUUGCCUGAACACAUGCCCUUCAGUCACAAAAAGUGACCAAGGGGAGGCUGUGAGCAACACUGGCUUCAUUAACAGUGAUGGCCCUCACUCUGUCAUUCUUAUUAAAUAAAAAUUAACAGCUGGACGUGGUGGCUAACACCUGUAAUCCCAGCACUUUAGGAGGCCAAGGCGGGUGGAUCACCUGAGAUCAGGAGUUCAAGACCAGCCUGGCCAAUAUGGUGAAACCCCGUCUCUACUAAAAAAUACAAAAAAUUAGCUGGGCAUGGUGGCGGGUGCCUGUAAUACCAGCUGCUUGGGAGGCUGAGGCAGGAGACUCGCCUGAACCCUGGAGGCGGAGGUUGCAGUGAGCCCAGAUUGUGCCACUACACUCUAGCCUGGGCAACAGAGUGAGACUCCAUCUCAAAAACAAAAAACAAAAAAGCCCCCCAAAACUUAAGAUAGUCAAGUAUCAGAACCCCGUCUCCUGAUAGCACCAGUCAACAAUGGACUCCACUUCCCUGGACCCCCUCAAAUCACAUAACAGCCCGAAUCCCAUUAGCCCCAAACUCCUCAUGCCUCCGGGGCAUCAUUUUGUGUCCUUCCACGAUGUAGCAAGUGGAUAAACCUAACUGUUGAUGGCAGGUGCAACCUGAGGGUCUCCGAGUGCCGAAAAGGCAUGGUGGGGUGGGGACAGCGGAGGUGAGGGGGGGCUGCUGGUCCCAGGCCGGGAGCCCCCAAAAGACCUGUACACAGGUGGCUGCUCAUGCUUCUCUCACAGUGGCAUGGGAAGGCACCAAGGCAGCGGGGAAUCUGGCCUACAGGGGGAACGCACGACUGGAGCUGUGUCACCUCCUUCCAGCAGCGGGAGGAUGCUUUCAAACAGUGACCAGUUGUCCAGGUCAAGGCUCGGCCUCCUCAUUUUAGAGGGUGGAGUGGGGGUUCAGCCCCUCCUUGCCGGACAGCGCCCCAUCACAGGCAGUGGAAUUUGGCUACUUAGAUUUCAAGAUGUUGGACAAGAUGUUUGCCCAACUGCCCUGCUCUGAGCUCUGGGCUCUGGGCUCUGGGCAAUGCUGGGACCACCAAAACGUGCUGCUCAGCCCUCCGCUGCGGGGCAUCACAGUGGUGGCUGGGCCGGCGGGGUUGGGCUGACUCCUGUCAGACCCAGGAUCCCCACCAGGCUGCCGAGAGGCCCCCGUGUGUUCAGGACUCCUCCCAGCCCCUGCUGCCGCCUCCUUGCCCGCCUCAUCCUUGGCAUUUCCUCUGAGGAAGCUCGCACCCCCGCUCCCACUACAGUGUCUGAGAGUUCACGGCGGUACUCACAUCCUUCCUCACUGUGUCUGUGACAUCAACCACAUGCUUCAGUUGUCCCGGGUCAGAACCACUUUCCAAAAAGCCCAAACUCGUCAGCUCUGGAUGGGGAGAGACCAGAAGGGCCCAGAGGGUGAGCGUGGAUUGUGCCCCUACAGGGACUCGAAAAGGCUGACGGACGAUCAGAGGACCCUCCUACCAUUAAGGAGCCAACUGUAUAUUUUUGUUGUUGUUGUUUUGAGAUGGAGUCUCCCUCUGUCGCCCAGGCUGGAGCGCAGUGGCGUGAUCUUGGCUCACUGCAACCUCCGCCUCCCAGGUUCAAGCGGUUCCCCUGCCUCAACCUCCCGAGUAGCUGGGACUACAGGCAUGUGCCACCACGCCCGGCUAAUUUUUUUGUAUUUUUAGUAGACACAGGGUUUCACCAUGUUGGCCAGGCUGGUCUCCAACUCCUGACCUCAAAUGUUCCGCCCACUUCAGCCUCCCAAAUUGUUGGGAUUACACGUGUGAGCCACUGCACCCCGCCCAACUUUAUCUUUUUAAUGACGUGGCAGGAGGAUUAAGGAUGGAGGUUUUUGUCUCACAACAAGCUAAACAAGCAAACAUUGCCAAGUAUUGAUUUAAGAAUGUCAAGCACGGCCGGGCACAGACGCUCAAGCCUGUAAUUCCAGCAUUUUGGGAGUCCAAGGCGGAUGGAUCACCUGAGGUCAGGAGUUCAAGACCAGCCUGGCCAACAUGGUGAAACCCUGUCUCUACUAAAAACACAAAAAUUAGCUGGGCGUGGUGGUGAGCACCUGUAAUCCCAGCUGCUCGGGAGGCUGAGGCAGGAGAAUUGGUUGAACCCGGGGGGCAGAGGUGCAGCGAGCCGAGAUCAAGCCUGGGCAACAGAGCGAGACUCCGCCUCAAAAAAAAAAAGGAUGUCAAGGACUGUAUUACAGCACCAGGCAUUUCUGGGAUGCGAUGUCACCUCUGGCUAGGAAAUCCACAGAGCAGUGGAGUCCACUCCACUCUGCAGCUGGUGUGAGCUGCAGAGCCCUGGAACGGCCCUGGAGGAGGCCCUGGCUUUCUCAGCCCCUCCUGGGCAGCAAGACCUUGGACAGGCUGUGCAGGCGCUGCGGGAUCAGGCUCCUGAUCGGCUGCAUGGGGCAGAUAUGUGCUCCCGCAUGAGGCCGCUCUGAGACACUUGUGGGCCUUAGUGGGUGUCCCAGCGGGACACAUCCCUAACGGCCAGAGGAGAGGGAGUGUCUUCAUGGAUUUGGCUGUGCCUGCGGGGCCCAGAAGACAAGUGCCAUUUCCAAAGGCCCCAGUGCAGGGUUAGCAUGGGCCCAGGGUGGGGAAGGGUACAGGACAUCAGCAGUUGGCCGGUCUAGGGGAGGGGGUGGGGAGUCCCGGGGGGUGGCCUGAGGGGCAGUCAGGUGUUUAGAGGCAUCUUUCCAUGUGUGUCUUUGGGACAUCACUGACUCACCUUUCUUGAUGUCUUCAAAAAGGGACAGCACCCGGACUGGCUGUCUCCUCCACACAGGCACGGUUUCGAACAUCUCAAGGGGAUUCUCCUAUUUAUUAAAAAACCAAAACAGGACAUUGUGCCGGCUACUUGGCUACAGAGCCCUUGAGUUACAAUGAAAAUUCUUCCCUGGAUGAACACUCACUCGAGACUCACCGGAGACACACAUAAGACACACCUGCUGAGGCUGACUGGGCCUGUCCUGACCAGCACUGCCCCCCCAGGAAGGCCAACUCCACCCCCUGCUCCAGCCUCAGUCUCCCGCUCUGACCUGUCUCCAGCCGAGAGACAGUAGGUGUGGAGGGGUUUGCUGAUUUUUUUUUUUUUUUUUUUUUUGAGAUGGAGUCUUGCUCUGUCACCCAGGCUGGAGUGCAAUGGUGCAAUCUUGGCUCACUGCAACUUUCCGCCUCCCGGGUUCAAGCGAUUCUCCUGCUUCACCCUCCCGAGUAGCUGGGAUCACAGGCACCCGCCACCACGCCCGGCUAAUUUUUGUAUUUUUAGUAGAGACAGUUUCACCAUAUUGGCCAGGCUGGUCUUGCUCAUCCUGGCAGCUUCCAGAACCUCGGAGAAGAGAGCCCCAAGGCCAGAGAUGCCGGGGAGAGGUGAGCCUCGGGGCAGGUGAGGCCUGUGGUUUUCCCUGACCCUGCCAACCUGAUGGGCUAGGCGGGCAGCCAGCUCCAGCCUCACAUGCUCCCUGUUAAAGGGCCAACCCCCAAGGCCCAAAACUCGGGGGCCUCGGCUUUCAGAGUGCUAGGCUCUGUUCCUAUAAAAUACCUUCCCAUCUGACCCUUUCCUUCGAAUUGGAGCAGGCUGAAGCUUGCUAGGCAGGGAGAGAUGACUUCGUUCAACCUUAACAAAUGUGAGCUGGAGGCCAGUGCAGUUUCAUGGUCAGCUCAGGGGUCCCUUGCUCCCCGCUGGCUGCCUCACCGGGGGCCACACCCCUUCUGUAGGAGCUUCCCGUGGCUGGCCUGCAAAUUAAAACAGACUGGAGGGGCUGGGCCCGGUGGCUCAUGCCUGUCAUCCCAGCAUUUUGGGAGGCUGAGGCAGGUGGAUCACUUGAGGUCAGGAGUUCAAGACCAGCCUGGCCAACAUGGUGAAACCCUGUCUCUACUAAAAGUACAGAAUUAGCCGGGUGUGGCGGUCGGUGCCUGUAAUCCCAGGUACUCAGGAGGCAGGAAGGAGAAUCGCUUGAACCCGGGAGGCCGAGGUUGCAGUGAGCCAAGAGGGUGCCAUUGCACUCCAGCCUGGGCAGCAAGAGCAAAACUCCAUCUCAAAAAUAAAAAAAUAAAAAACAAGGCCGGUGCGGUGGCUCACGCCUGUAAUCCCAGCACUUUGGGAGGCCGAGGCGGGCGGAUCACGAGGUCAGGAGAUCGAGACCAUCCCGGCUAAAACUGUGAAACCCC
This 15989-nucleotide long non-coding RNA is filed under the name Homo sapiens (human). Its description in RNAcentral is "HSALNT0404519". Lineage: Eukaryota; Metazoa; Chordata; Mammalia; Primates; Hominidae. The record is from RNAcentral.